CGCGUAGGCGGAUUGUUAAGUCAGGGGUGAAAUCCCGAGGCUCAACCUCGGAACUGCCUUUGAUACUGGCGAUCUUGAGUCCGGGAGAGGUGAGAGGAAUUCCCAGUGUAGAGGUGAAAUUCGUAGAUAUUAGGAAGAACACCAGUGGCGAAGGCGGCUCAUUGGCCCGGUACUGACGCUCAUGUGCGAAAGCGUGGGGAGCAAACA
Molecule: ribosomal RNA, 207 nt
Filed under: uncultured bacterium
Lineage: Bacteria
Description: partial 16S ribosomal RNA
Rfam family: Bacterial small subunit ribosomal RNA
Source: RNAcentral